GAUGAACGCUAGCGGCAGGCCUAAUACAUGCAAGUCGAACGGUAAGGCCCUUUCGGGGGUACACGAGUGGCGGACGGGUGCGUAACGCGUAUGCAACAUGCCUUCCAGCGGGGGAUAUACCAGGGAAACUUGGCGCAAUACCCCAUAGAAUUACGGGACCGCAUGGUCUUGUGAUUAAAACUCCGGUGCUGGGAGAUUGGCAUGCGUGACAUUAGCUAGUUGGCGGGGUAACGGCCCACCAAGGCGACGAUGUCUAGCUGGUCUGAGAGGAUGAUCAGCCACACUGGGACUGAGACACGGCCCAGACUCCUACGGGAGGCAGCAGUGGGGAAUUUUGGACAAUGGACGCAAGUCUGAUCCAGCAAUGCCGCGUGCAGGACGAAGGCCUCGGUUGUAAC
Molecule: ribosomal RNA, 398 nt
Filed under: uncultured bacterium
Lineage: Bacteria
Description: bacterial SSU rRNA
Rfam family: Bacterial small subunit ribosomal RNA
Source: RNAcentral